GGGCACUACUGGUGCUCUGUUUCGGUCCCUAUUCCUCACCUAUUGGUUCAAAAAAGGAACAGAAAAGCAGCUCCAAAAUGAGGGCUAAAAAGGUACAAUGGCUGCAAUAUAUUGACGUACACCUAGAACAUGUAUUUACACUGUUUAACCUCCUUACAGUGAUUUUACCCUUUUACAGAGCAGUUAUUUUCACCAAAGCGCUUAGGGUACGUACCUAAGUCGAGGGAACUACAACAGGAGCGUAGGAGCGCAGAUCGUCCUCAUCGCCAUCAUCAUCCUCCUCCUCAUCACCACCACCACCUCCCAGCAGCACCGCGAUCGGGACCACGCCCGGCAUCGCGCUCGGAGCGCCGCAAGUCCUCCUGCCCCUCCAGGUCUGCGACCGUAGACACCUCUCCUAGCAACCCGUCAUCAAAGUAUCUGCCUUCUACCUAUAGCCUGACUGCACCUGACGUGCCCUUCGAGCGCAGUCCCCGUACCCAAGACACUUAGCCAAGCACUUGUGCUUACCUUGUUUUACACUCCUGGUCACCCC
Molecule: long non-coding RNA, 535 nt
Filed under: Scleropages formosus (Asian bonytongue)
Lineage: Eukaryota; Metazoa; Chordata; Actinopteri; Osteoglossiformes; Osteoglossidae
Description: lncRNA (ENSSFOG00015029072.1)
Source: RNAcentral